AAAGUCGUAACAAGGUUUCCGUAGGUGAACCUGCGGAAGGAUCAUUAAUAUAUAGGAUACCAAAGAAAAAACAACCACCUUGUGUGCAUUCUUUGAAAAAAAAAAAAUUUCCUGAAGGAAAAAUCGUUUUCUUUCCCGAAAAUAUAUAUAUUAUCAAACCCUUCUUUUUUUUUGAAUCUGAACAAAAAUUUUUGAUAUAACAAAAAUAAACAACUUUCAACAACGGAUCUCUUGGCUCUC
RNAcentral lists this unclassified non-coding RNA (240 nucleotides) under Glomeromycotina sp. RNAcentral describes it as "partial contains small subunit ribosomal RNA, internal transcribed spacer 1, and 5.8S ribosomal RNA". The stretch from base 1 to 47 matches the Rfam family "Eukaryotic small subunit ribosomal RNA", at positions 1785 to 1831 of the family's 1831-position model. The record is from RNAcentral. Lineage: Eukaryota; Fungi; Glomeromycota.